This 622-nucleotide ribosomal RNA is filed under the name fungal endophyte. RNAcentral describes it as "eukaryotic LSU rRNA". The stretch from base 191 to 344 matches the Rfam family "5.8S ribosomal RNA". Lineage: Eukaryota; Fungi. The record is from RNAcentral.
CGGAGGGAUCAUUAAAGAGUUCUAUAACUCCCAAACCCAUGUGAACAUACCUAACGUUGCCUCGGCAGGUCGCACCUACCUUGUAGCACCCUACCCUGUAGGGCCUACCCGGGAGGUGCGGGUAAGCCUGCCGGCGGCCCACCAAACUCUGUUUGAUAUUGAAUUCUGAACCUAUAACUAAAUAAGUUAAAACUUUCAACAACGGAUCUCUUGGUUCUGGCAUCGAUGAAGAACGCAGCGAAAUGCGAUAAGUAAUGUGAAUUGCAGAAUUCAGUGAAUCAUCGAAUCUUUGAACGCAUAUUGCGCCCAUUAGUAUUCUAGUGGGCAGGACCGUUCGAGCGUCAUUUCAACCCUUAAGCCUUCGUUGCUUAGUGUUGGGAGCCUACGGCAACGUAGCUCCUCAAAGUUAGUGGCGGAGUUGGUUCACACUCUAGACGUAGUAAUUUUUUAUCUCGCCUAUUAGUUGGACUAAUCCCCUGCCGUAAAACCCCCAAUUUAUCAAGGUUGACCUCGAAUCGGUUCAGACAAACUCGCUAAAUUGAAGCAUCUUAGUCAGCGAAGGAAAAGAAACCAACAGGGAUUGCCCUAGUAACGGCGAGUGAAGCGGCAACAGCUCAAAUUU